This 253-nucleotide ribosomal RNA is filed under the name uncultured bacterium. Its description in RNAcentral is "partial 16S ribosomal RNA". It matches the Rfam family "Bacterial small subunit ribosomal RNA", at positions 524 to 776 of the family's 1533-position model. The record is from RNAcentral.
UACGUAGGGGGCUAGCGUUGUCCGGAAUCAUUGGGCGUAAAGCGCGCGUAGGCGGCUUUUCAAGUCAGAGGUGAAAUCCUGAGGCUCAACCUCAGAAUUGCCUUUGAAACUGUAAAGCUUGAGUGUCGGAGGGGAUAGCGGAAUUCCUAAUGUAGAGGUGAAAUUCGUAGAUAUUAGGAGGAACACCGGUGGCGAAGGCGGCUAUCUGGACGACAACUGACGCUGAGGCGCGAAAGCGUGGGGAUCAAACAGG